Molecule: long non-coding RNA, 505 nt
Organism: Etheostoma cragini (Arkansas darter)
Lineage: Eukaryota; Metazoa; Chordata; Actinopteri; Perciformes; Percidae
Exons: 3
Source: RefSeq, a predicted model, not a curated record
AUGUAGCGCCAUUGGUAUAACACUCGCUGGAUGGAAUGAAUGUCACAGCAGUUACCUGCAAACAUAGCUAACAUCAACUUUGGCUAAUAGCGUUAGCUUCCUAGCUAGCUAGCUUGUUUGGCUGGCUUUGGGAAGCAUAGUUCUUCACGGUGGUCAUCUCUAAUAAGCAAGUAACAACAGACAAGUUACCUUCGGAUUUUGUUGAUAUAGACUACGUCACCCCAAAAUAGAGAUGAGUUGUCAAGGUGAUCACACCCCUCCAUUGAGGGUGUUGGUGACAGGAGGAUCCGGCUUGGUGGGCAGGGCUAUACAGCAUGUGGUGAAAGAGGAGGGAGGAGCCAAGGAAGGGGAAGAAUGGAUAUUUCUCUCCUCCAAAGAUGCCAACCUCACGAACAUGGAGGAGACACGGGCAGUGUUUGAAAAAUAUCGGCCGACCCACGUCAUUCACCUGGCUGCUAUGGUUGGGGGGCUUUUCAAGAACAUGAAGUAUAACCUGGACUUUUGG